Molecule: ribosomal RNA, 853 nt
Filed under: uncultured Actinomycetes bacterium
Lineage: Bacteria; Bacillati; Actinomycetota; Actinomycetes
Description: bacterial SSU rRNA
Rfam family: Bacterial small subunit ribosomal RNA
Source: RNAcentral
GACGAACGCUGGCGGCGUGCUUAACACAUGCAAGUCGAACGGAAAGGCCUGCAGCUUGCUGCGGGUACUCGAGUGGCGAACGGGUGAGUAACACGUGGGUGAUCUGCCUUGCACUUCGGGAUAAGCUUGGGAAACUGGGUCUAAUACCGGAUAGGACAGCUGUUUAGUGUCAGUUGUGGAAAGUUUUUUCGGUGCAAGAUGAGCUCGCGGCCUAUCAGCUUGUUGGUGGGGUAAUGGCCUACCAAGGCGUCGACGGGUAGCCGGCCUGAGAGGGUGUACGGCCACAUUGGGACUGAGAUACGGCCCAGACUCCUACGGGAGGCAGCAGUGGGGAAUAUUGCACAAUGGGCGGAAGCCUGAUGCAGCGACGCCGCGUGGGGGAUGAAGGCCUUCGGGUUGUAAACUCCUUUCGACAGGGACGAAGCGUAAGUGACGGUACCUGUAUAAGAAGCACCGGCUAACUACGUGCCAGCAGCCGCGGUAAUACGUAGGGUGCGAGCGUUGUCCGGAAUUACUGGGCGUAAAGAGCUCGUAGGUGGUUUGUCGCGUCGUCUGUGAAAUUCCGGGGCUUAACUCCGGGCGUGCAGGCGAUACGGGCUGACUUGAGUGCUGUAGGGGAGACUGGAAUUCCUGGUGUAGCGGUGAAAUGCGCAGAUAUCAGGAGGAACACCGAUGGCGAAGGCAGGUCUCUGGGCAGUAACUGACGCUGAGGAGCGAAAGCAUGGGUAGCGAACAGGAUUAGAUACCCUGGUAGUCCAUGCCGUAAACGGUGGGCGCUAGGUGUAGGGGGCUUCCACGUCUUCUGUGCCGUAGCUAACGCAUUAAGCGCCCCGCCUGGGGAGUACGGCCGCAA